RNAcentral lists this long non-coding RNA (247 nucleotides) under Prunus persica (peach). RNAcentral's name for it is "long non-coding RNA (PPER_LNC003837)". The record is from RNAcentral. Lineage: Eukaryota; Viridiplantae; Streptophyta; Magnoliopsida; Rosales; Rosaceae.
AGGAAGAUAGAAAUCUUUGACAAGAAACUUCCCGCAUAACUAGAGGUGUCAAAUCAGACUGGCUCGUCCUAUUUAGAGUCGGUCCAUUUAAUAAACGGAUCAGUCGGGUCCAUUCAUUUAUGAAAAUCAUCAAUCUCGUCCCAAGCCCAUGACUCGACCCUAUAUGAGCUUGGGACCUGCUCGUGUCGGGCUACUAAAUAGACCAAAAUGGGCCCAAGCUAAAAUUGACUUAUGUAUUGCUUUUUUU